RNAcentral lists this ribosomal RNA (253 nucleotides) under uncultured bacterium. RNAcentral describes it as "partial 16S ribosomal RNA". It matches the Rfam family "Bacterial small subunit ribosomal RNA", at positions 524 to 776 of the family's 1533-position model. The record is from RNAcentral.
UACGGAGGGUGCAAGCGUUAAUCGGAAUCACUGGGCGUAAAGCGCACGUAGGCUGUCUGGUAAGUCAGACGUGAAAGCCCUCGGCUCAACCGAGGAACUGCGUUUGAAACUGCUAGACUUGAGUGCCGGAGAGGGUGGCGGAAUUCCAGGUGUAGGAGUGAAAUCCGUAGAUAUCUGGAGGAACACCGGUGGCGAAGGCGGCCACCUGGACGGCAACUGACGCUGAGGUGCGAAAGCGUGGGGAGCAAACAGG